This 443-nucleotide ribosomal RNA is filed under the name uncultured bacterium. RNAcentral's name for it is "bacterial SSU rRNA". It matches the Rfam family "Bacterial small subunit ribosomal RNA", at positions 29 to 517 of the family's 1533-position model. The record is from RNAcentral.
AACGAACGCUGGCGGCAUGCCUAACACAUGCAAGUCGAACGAGACCUUCGGGUCUAGUGGCGCACGGGUGCGUAACGCGUGGGAAUCUGCCCUUGGGUCCGGAAUAACUCAGAGAAAUUUGAGCUAAUACCGGAUGAUGACGUAAGUCCAAAGAUUUAUCGCCCAGGGAUGAGCCCGCGUAGGAUUAGCUAGUUGGUGAGGUAAAGGCUCACCAAGGCGACGAUCCUUAGCNGGUCUGAGAGGAUGAUCAGCCACACUGGGACUGAGACACGGCCCAGACUCCUACGGGAGGCAGCAGUGGGGAAUAUUGGACAAUGGGCGAAAGCCUGAUCCAGCAAUGCCGCGUGAGUGAUGAAGGCCUUAGGGUUGUAAAGCUCUUUUACCCGGGAUGACAAUGACAGUACCGGGAGAAUAAGCCCCGGCUAACUCCGUGCCAGCCGCCG